RNAcentral lists this small RNA (148 nucleotides) under Cercocebus atys (sooty mangabey). RNAcentral's name for it is "Metazoan signal recognition particle RNA". Lineage: Eukaryota; Metazoa; Chordata; Mammalia; Primates; Cercopithecidae. RNAcentral also lists the same sequence under 2 other names. The record is from Rfam by way of RNAcentral.
GCUGGGUGUGAUGGUGCAUGCCUGUAGUCCAAGCUACUCAGGAGGCUGAGGCAGGAGGAUCACUUGAGCCCGGGAGUUUGAGGCUGCAGUGAGCUGUGAUUGCACCACUGCAUUCCAGCCUGGGCAACAGAGGGAGAGCCUGUCUCUA